RNAcentral lists this ribosomal RNA (603 nucleotides) under Bolbitius lacteus. RNAcentral's name for it is "partial large subunit ribosomal RNA". It matches the Rfam family "Eukaryotic large subunit ribosomal RNA", at positions 72 to 659 of the family's 3401-position model. The record is from RNAcentral. Lineage: Eukaryota; Fungi; Basidiomycota; Agaricomycetes; Agaricales; Bolbitiaceae.
GGAUUCCCCUAGUAACUGCGAGUGAAGCGGGAAAAGCUCAAAUUUAAAAUCUGGCAGUCUUUGAUUGUCCGAGUUGUAAUCUAGAGAAGUGUUAUCCGCGUUGGACCGUGUACAAGUCUCCUGGAAUGGGGCAUCAUAGAGGGUGAGAAUCCCGUCUUUGACACGGACUAACAGUGCUUUGUGAUGCGCUCUCAAAGAGUCGAGUUGUUUGGGAAUGCAGCUCAAAAUGGGUGGUAAAUUCCAUCUAAAGCUAAAUAUUGGCGAGAGACCGAUAGCGAACAAGUACCGUGAGGGAAAGAUGAAAAGAACUUUGGAAAGAGAGUUAAACAGUACGUGAAAUUGCUGAAAGGGAAACGCUUGAAGUCAGUCGCGUUGGCUGGAAAUCAACCUUGCUUUUGCUGGGCGUACUUUCUAGUCAAUGGGUCAGCAUCAAUUUUGACCAUUGGAAAAAGUGUAGAGGAAUGUGGCAUCUUCGGAUGUGUUAUAGCCUUUGCUCGCAUACAAUGGUUGGGAUUGAGGAAUUCAGCACGCCGCAAGGCCGGGUUUCGACCACGUUCGUGCUUAGGAUGCUGGCAUAAUGGCUUUAAUCGACCCGUCUUGAAA